Molecule: ribosomal RNA, 706 nt
Filed under: Marinobacter nauticus
Lineage: Bacteria; Pseudomonadati; Pseudomonadota; Gammaproteobacteria; Pseudomonadales; Marinobacteraceae
Description: bacterial SSU rRNA
Rfam family: Bacterial small subunit ribosomal RNA
Source: RNAcentral
GUUGCGAAAGCGUGGGGAGCAAACAGGAUUAGAUACCCUUGGUAGUCCACGCCCGUAAACGAUGUCAACUAGUCCGUUCGGGUCUCUCAGAAGAAGUUGAGUGGCGCAGCUAACGCACUAAGUUGACCGCCUGGGGAGUACGGUCCGCAAGGUUAAAACUCAAAUGAAUUGACGGGGGCCCGCACAAGCGGUGGAGCAUGUGGUUUAAUUCGACUGCAACGCGAAGAACCUUACCUGUGCCUUGACAUCCAGAGAACUUUCCAGAGAUGGAUUGAGUGCCUUCGGGAACUCUGAGACAGGUGCUGCAUGGCCGUCGUCAGCUCGUGUCGUGAGAUGUUGGGUUAAGUCCCGUAACGAGCGCAACCCCUAUCCCUGGUUGCUAGCAGGUAAUGGUGAGAACUCCAGGGAGACUGCCGGUGACAAACCGGAGGAAGGUGGGGAUGACGUCAGGUCAUCAUGGCCCUUACGGCCAGGGCUACACACGUGCUACAAUGGCGCGUACAGAGGGCUGCCAACUCGCGAGAGUGCGCCAAUCCCUUAAAACGCGUCGUAGUCCGGAUCGGAGUCUGCAACUCGACUCCGUGAAGUCGGAAUCGCUAGUAAUCGCGAAUCAGAAUGUCGCGGUGAAUACGUUCCCGGGCCUUGUACACACCGCCCGUCACACCAUGGGAGUGGAUUGCACCAGAAGUAGUAUAGUCUAACCUUC